RNAcentral lists this transfer RNA (85 nucleotides) under Aeromonas sp. MrichA-1. RNAcentral describes it as "tRNA-Leu". It matches the Rfam family "tRNA". From Rfam's summary of the family: Transfer RNA (tRNA) molecules are approximately 80 nucleotides in length. Their secondary structure includes four short double-helical elements and three loops (D, anti-codon, and T loops). Lineage: Bacteria; Pseudomonadati; Pseudomonadota; Gammaproteobacteria; Aeromonadales; Aeromonadaceae. The record is from RNAcentral.
GCGAAUGUGGCGAAAUUGGUAGACGCGCUUCUCUCAAAAAGAAGUUUCGCAAGAAGUAUGAGUUCGAGUCUCAUCAUUCGCACCA